RNAcentral lists this ribosomal RNA (253 nucleotides) under uncultured bacterium. Its description in RNAcentral is "partial 16S ribosomal RNA". It matches the Rfam family "Bacterial small subunit ribosomal RNA", at positions 524 to 776 of the family's 1533-position model. The record is from RNAcentral.
UACGGAGGGUGCAAGCGUUGUCCGGAUUUAUUGGGUUUAAAGGGUGCGUAGGCGGUUCUUUAAGUCCGGGGUGAAAGCCCACUGCUCAACAGUGGAACUGCCCUGGAAACUGGAGAACUUGAGUCCAGACGAGGUUGGCGGAAUGGAUGCUGUAGCGGUGAAAUGCAUAGAUAGCAUCCAGAACCCCGAUUGCGUAGGCAGCUGACUAGGCUGGUACUGACACUGAGGCACGAAAGCGUGGGGAGCGAACAGG